AUACACCUGACGAGUCCCAGAUAGGACGAAACGCUCGUCGUUCAU
RNAcentral lists this non-coding RNA (45 nucleotides) under Schistosoma margrebowiei. Lineage: Eukaryota; Metazoa; Platyhelminthes; Trematoda; Strigeidida; Schistosomatidae. The record is from RNAcentral.